GCCGAGGUAGCUCAGUUGGUAGAGCAAUGGACUGAAAAUCCAUGUGUCGCCAGUUCAAGUCUGGCCCUCGGCACCA
Molecule: transfer RNA, 76 nt
Filed under: Chloroflexota bacterium
Lineage: Bacteria; Bacillati; Chloroflexota
Also listed under: 1 other name
Description: Chloroflexi bacterium tRNA-Phe
Rfam family: tRNA
About the family: Transfer RNA (tRNA) molecules are approximately 80 nucleotides in length. Their secondary structure includes four short double-helical elements and three loops (D, anti-codon, and T loops). Further hydrogen bonds mediate the characteristic L-shaped molecular structure. tRNAs have two regions of fundamental functional importance: the anti-codon, which is responsible for specific mRNA codon recognition, and the 3' end, to which the tRNAs corresponding amino acid is attached (by aminoacyl-tRNA synthetases). tRNAs cope with the degeneracy of the genetic code in two manners: having more than one tRNA (with a specific anti-codon) for a particular amino acid; and 'wobble' base-pairing, i.e. permitting non-standard base-pairing at the 3rd anti-codon position.
Source: RNAcentral